ACGUUAUUGGAGGAUAGAGGAUUGAGUAAGAGAGCCCAAAAAUUUGAUUGGAGGAGCCGACUCCGGAUGUGCUUGACUGAACACUGAUUGGAGAACAAGGGGUCAGGAAGAGCAGUUCCGCACGAGGAUUGGGCGGUGGCGUGUCCCAUGGAAACGGAAUCCAGAACUGCAGCCAGGGUUUUUCACGGGGGCGGAGCCGGCUCUUCCCCAGGCGCCUGCGCCUAACCGGUUCCCCGGCGCCAUUUUGUCCCGGCAGCAGCAGCCCGCAGCUCUAUCCCAUUUUCUGUGUCUGGAGGGAAGGACGCGGACUCUCUCGGAGUUGUGCUGAAGACAACAGACACCUCCAUGACAACCCAAAGUAUCACAGAGGAAAUGAAAAGCUGUGGACUCAUUCAAAGUUAAUUAAGAUUAGGUAUGACCAUGGAAGACUUGUGUAUGACCAUGGAAGACUUCUAGAGAAUCUUGACUGGUGAUGUGGAAAAAGAGACCCAGAAGAACAAAAAAACAGGUGACUGUAAUGCUGGUCCCCCUGUGCAGGAACAGCUCAGGAGACUGUCGGAGACAUGAGUGUCCUUGUAGAAGCCAGCAGUCUUGUUGGCUGUCAGGUCCUCAGGACUUAGUAUUAUUACAUGUCAUCCUUUCAUGUGGCAUGAAUGAGGAUUUAUAAAGCCCUAUUACGGUUUGGUUAUGCAGUCCAAACAGACUUACAAAGAUUUACAGAUUAAUUUUACUGCUCAAGCAUAGAGCAGAGACUCCUCAUUAGCUAAUUUGUGCAUACUACACUUUCCGUACACGUGUUACUGCAAAAAUGUCCCUACAGUGUUACCAGAGCUGGGGCAGGAAGUAAGGGUGGAAUUCCUGAGCUCACUGACACUGAUGCUGAAGGAAGCAGGAGGUGGGCGGAGCUGGCAGUGGUGAGAGCCACGUGGAUACAUGGGAUGGUGGAGGAGUCAGGAAAAGUUAGUAGCUAGCUGAGACUGUCCUAGCAAAAGACCAACAGCUUUAUUUUCUUCAAAAUUUAAUAAUAAACUGUAGAAAUAAACUAUUUUGAAAGAGUAGUUCAUAGAUUCCAUUGAGAAUGUAAUUAAUUGACCUGUUUAGUAUUUUUUAUUGAAAAAAUAAAUUGAGAUUCUUUUUUUUUUUUUAAA
Long non-coding RNA from Mus musculus (house mouse), 1148 nucleotides. RefSeq annotates it as RIKEN cDNA 3110056K07 gene. The transcript has 3 exons. The record is from RefSeq and is marked validated. Lineage: Eukaryota; Metazoa; Chordata; Mammalia; Rodentia; Muridae.